Molecule: long non-coding RNA, 1730 nt
Filed under: Helicoverpa zea (corn earworm)
Lineage: Eukaryota; Metazoa; Arthropoda; Insecta; Lepidoptera; Noctuidae
Description: uncharacterized LOC124634063
Source: RNAcentral
UGGCAAUAUUAUGCUAAUUGUGAUGAUAACUCAUAGGAGCCAAUAUCAUUCAAACUAAAGAACAUAACAAUUUGCAAAAUAUGAUAAAACCUCCUUAUUGUUCUUAACUUUUUAUAGUACCUAAUAUAGUUCCUAAAACACCAGUAUGUACCAUCCCAGUAUAAUGGGUUGUAUUCACCGAAGUCACCGAAGUCCUCAAUCAAAUGACAUUUGAUUAAAGCGAAAUGACGUAAGUGGGAAAUACCUACUGGAAUAUCAACACCAACUAUGUGCAAUCCUGGUCAACUCGUACUGAUUAGUAGAUACUCUAUCAAAUUACUAAGUUGACGAGUUUUACUAGAUGUCAACUCAGACAGCAUAGACCUACAUUUUGGUAACCUGAUAAGUUUGUAACCAAUAGGUACUUUAAGGUGUAACGCGCAGACGACGCUCUUUUUGCGAUUGAGUCCGUACGUACAGAAAAUGUCUGUAUGGUAGACAAAAAGUCCGUCGCGAAUAGUACGCCAUUUGCAGCGCACCUAAAGCAAAUAAAUACACGGUUAAUAAUAUCAUCGAUCGUCAAGAAAAGAACUUUUACAAGUUUCGCACUAAUUCUGAUGUAAAAAGAAUCAGAAUCAUAGUGUUUAUUUGUGAAACAUAUUCAUGUAACAACAAGGAGUAAGUCUUAAUUCAAAGCUGACGAAUUCAGCUAGAAUAUGAUGUUGUAUUCACAGAAUUAUAAGCUGAUCUCAGAUGAUUCACACCUAGUUAGUGUGUCACUGAAAACAACACUCAUUCCUGUUCCGGUUCUUAAUUGCAAUAUAUCGUUCAUUAGUCAUAAUCCUCACGUGUUAUUAUCAGGUUUAUCGAACCACGUUGAUAAAGACUUGCGCAGCUCACGAAAAAUGUGAUAAAUACGUACAACGAUAGGACCCUUAUCAUUCACUGUUGAUUUCACCUGCUGUAAACAAGCCCUUCAAUAAAUUAAUUAUUUGUGAACAAAAGGAACUUAUAAAACAAGUAAUGCCGCCCCCACACGCUCAGCCCUGCGGUCCCCAAUGCGGGACGUACUGUGUGCCCCAUUGCUGGUUCCGCAGACAAAUGGAGACGCACUAUCCCCAGAACCCAGUGGUGCCACCACAUCAUCCACAUUACCCACCACCGCCACCACAUCACCAUCCCCACCAUCCACCACCACCGUAUUAUGAACAGCCACAAUACCCACCAGGCCCUUAUCCCCCACCCCAUUAUGCUCAGCCAUAUGGAGGGGCAACACCGCGCUAACCGUCUAAACGAAGGGUGCGUCUACACGGUGCAUGAAGCUGGAGCAAGUUAACAUGCGCAAGUGACAAAUGACAGGUGACAAGAGCACGUGGAUGGAACCGCUGGACCCGCACGUCUUUAAAAUGCAUGUAACCUGCGCAUGUGCCUCAACAUGCGCGAGCUACUUGCACCGUGUAGGUGCACCCUAACUUAGGUACUGCUCAACUCGACGAAUGGACUGCAUCACUCAUCAGCUAUUCCGAUGACACAUCGCGAUAGCCCUAAUUUCUACAAAAAUGAGAUCUGCUAAUGAAAGAGUUUAUUAAUCUCUCAAAAACUGUAACUUGAUAUGGUGUAAUGAUUUAAUUAAUCUUAUCUGAAUUGAUAAUGUUCGAAGAACGUACUGAUUUGAAAUAAAAGUGUACUCAAUGUUAAAAUGUUGUUGAUAUCGACACUCAAUUAAUUAAAAACUUUGUUAAAACUAACAA